CCAUUCUGGUCCGUGUCCGUCCAUUUCUGUGUUGCUUUCAACUUUCCCACUGUGGCUUUCUUCUCCCUGCCUCACUCUUCUCCCUGGAUAUUCCACCCUCCUCCUUCCUGUCCCCUCUAUUGGCUGUCAGAUCUUCAUUACAUCCAGUCAGUAGUAAGACAACCUCUGAUAGGCUUCUACACUGCUGUUAGGCAGGUGAGGUGAGGACGAAUAUUUACAAAAUAGAAAACCACCCAGUGAUGGGCCAUAGAAAUGAUGAUACCAAAAUCCUGACAGCAUGUAGCUUUCUGCUGUUACAGAAUUAACAACCGAAAAUUAAUACAGAAAUGCACCUUCACACAAUGUAAAGAAAGCUUACCCCCAAAAUUUUGGCUGGUAGGCAUGUCUGCAAGGUAUUGUCUUGAGCCUUAACUGAUGGAGGAAAGAUACAGCCCACUGUGGGCAGCGUCAUUCCUUAGGUAGGGCCCACUAAAGUAUGUAAGAGGAGAAAUCAAGCCCUGUGUAAGUAAAUGAGUGAAUAGCAUUUGUGUGUUCAUUUCUUUCUGUUCUUGACUGUGGAUAUUUAAGUUCCUACUUCCACCUUUCCCCCAAUGGUGAAAAUUAAUAUGGAAAUAAAAGCUAAAAAUAA
Molecule: long non-coding RNA, 628 nt
Filed under: Rattus norvegicus (Norway rat)
Lineage: Eukaryota; Metazoa; Chordata; Mammalia; Rodentia; Muridae
Description: long non-coding RNA NONRATT025328
Source: RNAcentral